This 253-nucleotide ribosomal RNA is filed under the name uncultured bacterium. Its description in RNAcentral is "partial 16S ribosomal RNA". It matches the Rfam family "Bacterial small subunit ribosomal RNA", at positions 524 to 776 of the family's 1533-position model. The record is from RNAcentral.
UACGAAGGGGGCUAGCGUUGCUCGGAAUUACUGGGCGUAAAGGGCGCGUAGGCGGAUACUUAAGUUGGGGGUGAAAGCCCGGGGCUCAACCUCGGAAUUGCCUUCAAUACUGGGUAUCUUGAGUUCGGGAGAGGUGAGUGGAAUGCCGAGUGUAGAGGUGAAAUUCGUAGAUAUUCGGCGGAACACCAGUGGCGAAGGCGACUCACUGGCCCGAUACUGACGCUGAGGCGCGAAAGCGUGGGGAGCAAACAGG